GAAACCUGUGUUAAGGUGCUAAACUAUUUAAUAUAACAAAAAUCCCUCAAACAUAACUUUUUACACUGAAUUGGUCGUCUAUCAAGUGACAAAAUGAAAUGGGGCCAUAAAAUGAAGCAAAAAUCCUCAAUUACGACCAAAAAUUCAACACAUUUCGAAAAGGGUACUGGGGUGUUGCUAGGCAGCUGCUAGGCUGUUCUGAGUGGUUAAUUGUGUUGCCAGAGGUUUGUUGUGGUGUUCUGGUUGGUUACUAGGCAGUUGCUAGUGUUCUGUGUGGUUCCUAUGGUGUUACUAGGGAGCAACUAAGGUAUUCUGGGUGGUAACAGGGGUACUAGUGUAUUGCAAGGCAGAUGCUAAGUGUUCUGAAUUGUUUAUAUUUUGUAGCAAGGAGGUUACUAUGGUGUUCUGGUUGGUUACUAGGCAGUUGCUAGGGUGUUCUGGGUGUUAAAAAGGGUACUAAGGUGUUGCUAGGCAGUUGCUAAGGUGUUCUGAGUGUUUGUUAUUGUGUGGCAAGGAGGUUACUAUGGUGUUCUGGUUGGUUACUAGGGUGUUCUGAGCGGUUACUGUGUUGCCAGAAGGUUGUUGUGGUGUUCUGGUUGGUUCCUAGGCAGUUGCUAGUGUUCUGGGUGGUUCCUAGGGUGUGAUUAGGGAGCCUCUAAGGUAUUCUUGGUGGUAACAAGGGUACUAGUGUAUUGCUAGGCAGUUGCCAAGGUGUUCUGGUUGGUUACAAGGCAGAUGAUGGAAUUAUUUUUACUAUUAUUAUUAUUAUAAUACUUUUAUGUAAGAAGAAAGUAACUGUAUGUGUAAACCAGUGUAAACAACGAAGUCUUUUGUUUUAUUAAGGGGAAAUAUUUGCCCCCUGGAAGUGAUUUUUUCCCUUUAUAAGGGCAUAUUUUUAACCAUAUAAAAACACUCAUACUUUCAUGUAAAAUACUUUUAAUCAAUUCAUUUUUUUCCUCAAUCUAAUCAUGUUCAAUACCUAUGAAAAAAUUAAAUCAGCAUCAAAAAUAUUUUGUUUGAAAAUAUAUUUAACUAGGCUUAGAAUAAAAUAUAUCAGAUGAAAAAAAUUAUUGCAGGGUUGUUUUUUUGCCCCUAGCCUCCAUUAAUUUCUGACCCUGGUGUGGAUUGAUAUGACAGACAUGAAACUAAAACUUAUGUAGGUCAAUUAUACAGUUUAGCAGUCAUCAUUUUAAAAUAUUUAACCACAGAAUGCCUAUAUUGAUUAAUCAGAAUAAAAUAUUUCAAGUAUUCAAGUAGUAGAGUUAUGUAACAUGUACAAAUGAGAAGGAUAGCAUGUAAUUUCAUAUUCUGAAGACUUGCGCAACCAACUACAUCUUCGCCGAAACUAGUAGUUCCUUAUUAUUCUGUGCCAUUCUGAUAAAGUCUCAGUGGCUAAAAAAAGAUUUAGUGACUCAUUUACACCGCAAUAAAAUCAUUAAUGGGCACACAUAAAGAGUGCACUAACUUUAGCUUUAAUGACGGUCACAGCAUACAUUCAAACUCUGUCAAUUCAAUUUGCUUACAUUUACAGUUAUUACUGACCUAAAAAAAAAAAAAAAAAAACAUUGACACAAGAAGAAAAAUAGUAAGAUUCUGCACUAAUAUCUUUGGAACAUU
Long non-coding RNA from Myxocyprinus asiaticus (Chinese sucker), 1617 nucleotides. RefSeq lists it as uncharacterized. The record is from RefSeq and is a predicted model, not a curated record. NCBI's taxonomy places the organism in Eukaryota, Metazoa, Chordata, Actinopteri, Cypriniformes, Catostomidae. The transcript has 2 exons.